GUCCUUUGUUGAAUAUUCACAUAGACCAAGGUGAGCGACACAGGCUCUUUAGAGCCUCUAGUUCGUAAAUCUUAGUAAUCUUUUAGAAAAUCUUCUCCACUGAAACUACUGGGCCAAAUUUAACCAAACUUAGCCAUAAUCAUCAUUGGGGUAUCUAGUUUAAAAAAUGUGUCUAGUGACCCGGCCAACCAACCAAGAUGGCCGCCAUGGCUAAAAAUAGAACAUAGGGGUAAAAUGCAGUUUUUGGCUUAUAACUCAAAAACCAAAGCAUUUAGAGCAAAUCUGACAG
Molecule: long non-coding RNA, 289 nt
Filed under: Mytilus galloprovincialis (Mediterranean mussel)
Lineage: Eukaryota; Metazoa; Mollusca; Bivalvia; Mytilida; Mytilidae
Source: RNAcentral